This 278-nucleotide long non-coding RNA is filed under the name Setaria viridis. RNAcentral's name for it is "long non-coding RNA (SVIR_LNC010509)". The record is from RNAcentral. Lineage: Eukaryota; Viridiplantae; Streptophyta; Magnoliopsida; Poales; Poaceae.
UACACUCUAUGUGUUGUUGUAUGCACAUGUUGAGAGGGAGUUUAGCCUGUACCUUGUGGGACUAAUGCUUCUUCCAAGUUUAUGUUGUGUAAUCUCAUUUGUUGGAGAAGGAAAGAAUCUCAAUGGAUAUCAAAUGCUUCCUACUGAUUUUUGAAUGCUCAAUUAUUAUUUCAGGAGGUUCCUUUCUUUAUAAACCAAGAACAUGAAUUUUGAGUUAGUUGGAGAAAUAAAGUUAAGAGUGGACAUUCAUUACUAUUUCUCCACUAUGGAACUCAUCA